Molecule: transfer RNA, 76 nt
Filed under: Clostridia bacterium
Lineage: Bacteria; Bacillati; Bacillota; Clostridia
Description: tRNA-Arg
Rfam family: tRNA
About the family: Transfer RNA (tRNA) molecules are approximately 80 nucleotides in length.
Source: RNAcentral
GCGCCCGUAGCUCAGAGGAUAGAGUGUUCGACUCCGACUCGAAAGAUCGCACGUUCGAAUCGUGUCGGGCGCGCCA